This 75-nucleotide transfer RNA is filed under the name Patescibacteria group bacterium. Its description in RNAcentral is "tRNA-Val". It matches the Rfam family "tRNA". From Rfam's summary of the family: Transfer RNA (tRNA) molecules are approximately 80 nucleotides in length. RNAcentral also lists the same sequence under 1 other name. The record is from RNAcentral.
GGGUGAUUAGCUCAAAUGGCUUAGAGCAUCGGAAUUACAAUCCGAGGGUCCCUGGUUCAAAUCCAGGAUCACCCA